CAUCAAGAAACAAGUUGGGGGUGGAGGGUGGGAAUCCAGGAUUUUUCUGUUCCUGUGAUUGGGCAGCAGUGUGUUUACCUUCAACCCCCAGAAAAAGCAGAAGCACAGGAGUUCAUGCCCAAACUCUGGUUUAUUUUGUGUGGAUUUUUUUUAAAAAAGUGUUUAAUUAUGUCAAAUAUUGAAAUCCAGUGCACCAUUAUUAUCCCCAUCUUUCAGCAUCAUUGCUGAAAUCGGCUUCAGAGCUCGGUCUCCCAAAACUGCAUUUCACCUCAUGCGUAGUUUUGGUCCUCACCGGUUGUUAAACAGAGCUCAAAGUCCUGUGUAGAAGUUACCAACCUAAUUCCAAGAUGUGAUCGCUUUCUGCGGGGCUGAUUUGGAUUUCCAGAACUCCGCAGGAUACACGUCAGCAAAUGUCAGUAUCGUUAACUUAUCUCCUCAGAUCCCAACUCAGCCUAACACCAGGGCUUAAUUGCAUGUAAUAAUCUUCUGCAUGCUUCAUUGACUUUUGCCCCUAAUAGAGCAUCAAAUGAAAAUUCGAAGUCAACCUCAAAGUUAGAUCGUAUGCGUCCAUCUAGUCUAGUAUUGUAUAAGUCUAUGGAGGGCCGAGAUCACGUGUGGAUCGAAUCCUGCCUGCUGUUGCUUUGGGUUACCAAAAGGGAGGCACAGAGAAUUCUUCCGUUCCAAGUCGAAUUCAGCUGGAGAGCGAGCGAACCGCACAGAAACUCAAAACAGAUCCCGAGUCCCACAAAUGAAUCCCAAGUCCUAAUCCGGCAGGCAUGAACACCCAUGAAGAAGUGACUUGCUGGGAUUUAAUAACCCAUGGCGAUAUUUGGGAAAUGAAACUGUAGCUUUAAUUUGUAUAAUAACUAAAUUUAAAACAGCCGAUGAAAACGGGACAUCAGGAACCUUUUCUGGUUCAUUCCUAAGAAAAGGCGAAACAGUCUUGGGCCCAGGCAGGGUUCAUUUGAAUAUCUUGCAUGACAACACAUACAUUAGAUUUCCUCCAUUCUUAAAGCCGUUUCACACGUUGCAUGGCAAUGAAACGGAAGUUUACCACAGUGUUGUUGAACAUGGCAAUAAACGGAAGUUUACCACUGA
This is a long non-coding RNA of Hemicordylus capensis (graceful crag lizard), 1098 nucleotides long. RefSeq lists it as uncharacterized. NCBI's taxonomy places the organism in Eukaryota, Metazoa, Chordata, Lepidosauria, Squamata, Cordylidae. The record is from RefSeq and is a predicted model, not a curated record. The transcript is spliced from 2 exons.